CGUAGGGAGCAAGCGUUGUUCGGAUUUACUGGGCGUAAAGGGCGCGUAGGCGGCAGAUCAAGUCAGUUGUGAAAUCUCUGAGCUUAACUCAGAACUGUCAACUGAUACUGUUCUGCUAGAGUGCGGAAGGGGCAAUCGGAAUUCUUGGUGUAGCGGUGAAAUGCGUAGAUAUCAAGAGGAACACCUGAGGUGAAGACGGGUUGCUGGGCCGACACUGACGCUGAGUGCGCGAAAGCCAGGGGAGCAAACGGGAUUAGAUACCCCGGUAGUCCUGGCCUUAAACGAUGAAUACUUGGUGUCUGGAGUCUUUAUAGCUCCGGGUGCCGUCGCUAACGUUUUUAGUAUUCCGCCUGGGGAGUACGCACGCAAGUGUG
Molecule: ribosomal RNA, 374 nt
Filed under: uncultured organism
Description: bacterial SSU rRNA
Rfam family: Bacterial small subunit ribosomal RNA
Source: RNAcentral